Molecule: long non-coding RNA, 377 nt
Organism: Bombyx mandarina (wild silkworm)
Lineage: Eukaryota; Metazoa; Arthropoda; Insecta; Lepidoptera; Bombycidae
Source: RefSeq, a predicted model, not a curated record
UUCAUCCGCCCCAGUCACUUGCACAUGUGAUUAACUUUUAAAACAAAUUGGUGGCGUGAUCGUUUCUUUUAUUUGCCUUCAAAUUUUCGGGGACUGAGUUACGUGAAAUUUUCGUGCGCAUUCUGAAGAUGGGUUCAGUUGAAACAACCGCCAGACGAAGACUGUAGGCAGUGCAGAUUUGCUUGAAUACAGAAUCAAAACAAAAAAACUCAGAAUGUUUUCCUUAUGCAGGCGAUACAAAGACGAGCACGAGCAUGGCGCUACGCAAAUCAAAGGAGGAUAUAUGCUCCGGUACAAACGGAAAUACAAUCUUUGGAGCUCAUGGUCAGAAGAAUGGGUGGUGCUUUACGAUGAUUCAACAAUGGCGUGGUUUAAGG